CUACGGGACGCUGCAGUGGGGAAUAUUGGGCAAUGGGCGCAAGCCUGACCCAGCAACGCCGCGUGAGGGAAGAAGGUUUUCGGAUUGUAAACCUCUGUCCUUGGGGACGAAGAAGUGACGGUACCCAAGGAGGAAGCUCCGGCUAACUACGUGCCAGCAGCCGCGGUAAUACGUAGGGAGCAAGCGUUGUCCGGAAUUACUGGGCGUAAAGGGUGCGUAGGCGGCAUAUUAAGUCAGGUGUGAAAUACUCGGGCUCAACCCGGGGGCUGCAUUUGAAACUGAUAUGCUUGAGUGUGAGAGAGGAAAGUGGAAUUCCUAGUGUAGCGGUGGUAUGCGUAGAUAUUAGGAGGAACACCAGUGGCGAAGGCGACUUUCUGGCUCAUAACUGACGCUGAGGCACGAAAGCGUGGGGAGCAAACAGGAUUAGAUACCCGGGUAGUC
Molecule: ribosomal RNA, 441 nt
Filed under: uncultured bacterium
Lineage: Bacteria
Description: partial 16S ribosomal RNA
Rfam family: Bacterial small subunit ribosomal RNA
Source: RNAcentral